ACUUUAAGGAUACUGCCAGUGACAAACUGGAGGAAGGCGGGGACGACGUCAAGUCAUCAUGGCCCUUACGGCCAGGGCUACACACGUGCUACAAUGGUCGGUACAAAGGGUUGCUACACAGCGAUGUGAUGCUAAUCUCAAAAAGCCGAUCGUAGUCCGGAUUGGAGUCUGCAACUCGACUCCAUGAAGUCGGAAUCGCUAGUAAUCGCGGAUCAGAAUGCCGCGGUGAAUACGUUCCCGGGCCUUGUACACACCGCCCGUCACACCAUGGGAGUUUGUUGCACCAGAAGUAGCUAGCCUAACUGCAAAGAGGGCGGUUACCACGGUGUGGCCGAUGACUGGGGUGAAGUCGUAACAAGGUAGCCGUAGGGGAACCUGCGGCUGGAUCACCUCCUUA
RNAcentral lists this ribosomal RNA (397 nucleotides) under Acinetobacter baumannii. RNAcentral's name for it is "bacterial SSU rRNA". It matches the Rfam family "Bacterial small subunit ribosomal RNA", at positions 1137 to 1533 of the family's 1533-position model. The record is from RNAcentral. Lineage: Bacteria; Pseudomonadati; Pseudomonadota; Gammaproteobacteria; Moraxellales; Moraxellaceae.